This 67-nucleotide transfer RNA is filed under the name Anguilla anguilla (European eel). RNAcentral describes it as "tRNA-OTHER". Lineage: Eukaryota; Metazoa; Chordata; Actinopteri; Anguilliformes; Anguillidae. The record is from RNAcentral.
GGCACGGUGGUGCAGUGGGUAGCACUGUCACCUCACAAGGUGUAGGGUUCGACACCGGCCUGGGCCG